AUAUAUAUAUAUAUAUAUAGUAUAUUGGCCUAGUUCGAUAAUGCACUUUUGCAGGAUUGAGACUCUAACUUGAAAUUGAUCGCCUACAAACCUAAUUGAGGGUAAAGCGAACACGUUCGCGAAGUCGGUUCGGCAAUCCGUCGAGCCUACGCGAAGAUAUCGCCAAAAUGACGUUUUCAGCUUCAAAAUGGAAUGAUAAUCGAAAUCCGUCGAGCCUAGCUCUAUAUAUAGUAUAGAUAUUAUAUUGUAGAUAGUAUAGUAGCCUAACUCUAUAUAUAGUAUAGAUAGUAUAGUAGCCUNUAUAUAUAUAUAUAUAUAUAUAUAUAGAAUUGUGCUCCUAUACUUUUAAAAGUACCAAGUUAUUGGUGCUUAUAGAUUUUUAGCUAUUGGAUUAAGAGACAUACGGUUAGGAUGAUGUGGGCCCCCUAGGGUUGAGUGGGUGGUUGGUUGAAUAGUAUAAUCUAAUGGUUAAAAAUAAUUCGAGGAGUAGAUCUAACGAUAAAAAACUUACAAGCACCAAGUGCAUGGUGCUUUUACAAGCACCAUAGCUGCACUCUAUAUAUAUAUAUAUCAUAAUACGAC
This 582-nucleotide long non-coding RNA is filed under the name Ananas comosus (pineapple). RNAcentral's name for it is "long non-coding RNA (ACOM_LNC018933)". Lineage: Eukaryota; Viridiplantae; Streptophyta; Magnoliopsida; Poales; Bromeliaceae. The record is from RNAcentral.